CGAAAGCCUGACGGAGCAAUACCGCGUGAGGGAGGAAGGCCUUUGGGUUGUAAACCUCUUUUCUCAGGGAAGAAGUUCUGACGGUACCUGAGGAAUAAGCAUCGGCUAACUCCGUGCCAGCAGCCGCGGUAAUACGGAGGAUGCAAGCGUUAUCCGGAAUUAUUGGGCGUAAAGCGUCCGCAGGUGGUUUUUCAAGUCUGCUGUUAAAGACCAGAGCUUAACUCUGGGCAGGCGGUGGAAACUGGAAGACUAGAGUUCGGUAGGGGUAGCGGGAAUUCCCAGUGUAGCGGUGAAAUGCGUAGAUAUUGGGAAGAACAUCGGUGGCGAAGGCGCGCUACUGGACCGAAACUGACACUCAGGGACGAAAGCUAGGGUAGCGAAAGGGAUUAGAUACCCCUGUAGUCCUAGCUGUAAACGAUG
This 420-nucleotide ribosomal RNA is filed under the name uncultured cyanobacterium. RNAcentral describes it as "bacterial SSU rRNA". It matches the Rfam family "Bacterial small subunit ribosomal RNA", at positions 376 to 811 of the family's 1533-position model. Lineage: Bacteria; Bacillati; Cyanobacteriota. The record is from RNAcentral.